UAGAAUCCCCUCCUCUGACUCUCUGAGAUAGGGGGCUGACUAAGCCCUUCCCAUCAGGGAAAACCUGACCCCUUUCACAAAAAGGCAGUUAUUCAUCUUUUGUGGCAGCUGUAGGAUUCACAUGGUUGAAUCUCCUCAUCAGUCUUCAUUUGUGGAUUACAGCUUCCAUACUCAGUGACAAGUGAGGAAAAGAUUGAGGAUAAUCACCGGCAACAACAAAGAAGAGAAGAAAGGCUGGCUGAAUCUUCUGAUGCCCAGAAAGUUGUUUCAGACAGAUGUCAGAAGACUAAUACCCCCCAAAGAAAAUUUGGGUUGAAGAAAAGGAUUUUAAAAUACAACAGUCAUGUCAUAUGGUAAAUGCAAACAUGGAUUUUGCCAGUUGGGAUCACUUUACAAUGAUUUAUUUUAGUCUAAGCUUAGCUUAGGUUGUAAAAGUAUCUUUAAAAUUAAUGUCUGUCUCAUUGGAAAAUAAUUCUUAUUGAUUCUUAUUUCAUUAUCCUUUUCUUUGCUAAUGGUCCUGGAAAACCAACACUUUUUAAUUACACCAUUAUCUUUUGAAUGUAAGGACUGAGUGUCACAUGCUUAAAAAGACUUUGGUUGAUUACACAAGAAUGUCAAUUUAAGUUUUGUCUCAGCUUCCUUUUGUUAAUCAGUUUUGUCUCAACUUCAUUUUAUGAAGCUUUCUUUGCUUCUCAAUUAUUUUGUGAGCCACAGAACAAGACUGAAGGUGGAAGGUAACUAUGGACACCCUUGUUUGUGAUCCAACAUUCUUGUUUCAGCAGCCAUUUUGUGAUUCAUUAAACAGCUGAGCAUCAUGAGAAUUUGAUUAAAACCAAUGAAGUCCAAAA
Molecule: long non-coding RNA, 848 nt
Organism: Protopterus annectens (West African lungfish)
Lineage: Eukaryota; Metazoa; Chordata; Ceratodontiformes; Protopteridae
Exons: 3
Source: RefSeq, a predicted model, not a curated record